RNAcentral lists this ribosomal RNA (491 nucleotides) under uncultured bacterium. RNAcentral describes it as "partial 16S ribosomal RNA". It matches the Rfam family "Bacterial small subunit ribosomal RNA", at positions 29 to 506 of the family's 1533-position model. The record is from RNAcentral.
AGUGAACGCUGGCGGUAGGCCUAACACAUGCAAGUCGAACGGCAGCACAGUAAGAGCUUGCUCUUACGGGUGGCGAGUGGCGGACGGGUGAGGAAUACAUCGGAAUCUACUUUUUCGCGGGGGAUAACGUAGGGAAACUUACGCUAAUACCGCAUACGACCUACGGGUGAAAGCAGGGGAUCUUCGGACCUUGCGCGAUUGAAUGAGCCGAUGUCGGAUUAGCUAGUUGGCGGGGUAAAGGCCCACCAAGGCGACGAUCCGUAGCUGGUCUGAGAGGAUGAUCAGCCACACUGGAACUGAGACACGGUCCAGACUCCUACGGGAGGCAGCAGUGGGGAAUAUUGGACAAUGGGCGCAAGCCUGAGCCAGCCAUACCGCGUGGGUGAAGAAGGCCUUCGGGUUGUAAAGCCCUUUUGUUGGGAAAGAAAAGCAGCAGGUUAAUACCCCGCUGUUCUGACGGUACCCAAAGAAUAAGCACCGGCUAACUUCGU